GAGACAGACAGACAGAUUGAUUUGGGUUCGGUUAGUUUUCUUUGUAUAUAUGUGUGUGUGGGGGUGGGGGGGGGGGACGGUGCUGGUGAUGAUGAUGGUGGUGGAGGUAUUAAUUCCUCGGUUGUUGUUGUUGUUGUUGUUGUUGUUGUUGUUGUUGUUGUUGUUGUUGUUGUUGUUAUUUUCUUUCUCAACUUACUAGCAAAAGAGAUGAGAGCAUAAAGAUAUUGGGUAACUCUUCCAUUAUGUAGAUAGGAAGAAAAAAAAAAGUGAUGAUGGUGGUGAUGGUGAUGAAGGUGAUGGUGGUGAUGAAGGUGAUGGUGAUGGAGGUGGUGGUGAUGAAGGUGAUGGUGGUGAUGAAGGUGAUGGUGAUGAAGGUGGUGGUGAUGAAGGUGGUGGUGGUGAUGAUGGUGUUGACGCAAUAUAUCACCCAGGAUGUGUACCCUUCAUUAUCUCAACUCCAUCCGGUGAAGAAACGCUCUCUCUCUCUCUCUCUCUCUCUCUCUCUCUCUCUCUCUCUCUCUCUCUCUCUCUCUCUCUCUCUCUCUCUCUCUCUCUCUCUCUCUCUC
Molecule: long non-coding RNA, 566 nt
Organism: Eriocheir sinensis (Chinese mitten crab)
Lineage: Eukaryota; Metazoa; Arthropoda; Malacostraca; Decapoda; Varunidae
Exons: 2
Source: RefSeq, a predicted model, not a curated record